UCGUUAUCGGGCUAAAUGAGUAGUUGCAAACGACAACUAUGCGGAAGCACGUCUCGCUGCUUAAGCAGUGCGAAGGCUUCAAAUUAAGCCUUAAACUGUCGCAGGUUUAAGCGGGGU
This 117-nucleotide transfer-messenger RNA is filed under the name uncultured Bartonella sp. RNAcentral's name for it is "partial ssrA". It matches the Rfam family "Alphaproteobacteria transfer-messenger RNA", at positions 207 to 324 of the family's 355-position model. From Rfam's summary of the family: Bacterial tmRNA, also known as 10Sa RNA or SsrA, is named for its dual tRNA and mRNA-like properties. Its role is to liberate the mRNA from a stalled ribosome. The record is from RNAcentral. Lineage: Bacteria; Pseudomonadati; Pseudomonadota; Alphaproteobacteria; Hyphomicrobiales; Bartonellaceae.